RNAcentral lists this ribosomal RNA (492 nucleotides) under uncultured bacterium. Its description in RNAcentral is "partial 16S ribosomal RNA". It matches the Rfam family "Bacterial small subunit ribosomal RNA", at positions 29 to 507 of the family's 1533-position model. The record is from RNAcentral.
AGUGAACGCUGGCGGUAGGCCUAACACAUGCAAGUCGAACGGCAGCACAGUAAGAGCUUGCUCUUACGGGUGGCGAGUGGCGGACGGGUGAGGAAUACAUCGGAAUCUACUUUUUCGUGGGGGAUAACGUAGGGAAACUUACGCUAAUGCCGCAUACGACCUACGGGUGAAAGCAGGGGAUCUUCGGACCUUGCGCGAUUGAAUGAGCCGAUGUCGGAUUAGCUAGUUGGCGGGGUAAAGGCCCACCAAGGCGACGAUCCGUAGCUGGUCUGAGAGGAUGAUCAGCCACACUGGAACUGAGACACGGUCCAGACUCCUACGGGAGGCAGCAGUGGGGAAUAUUGGACAAUGGGCGCAAGCCUGAUCCAGCCGUACCGCGUGGGUGAAGAAGGCCUUCGGGUUGUAAAGCCCUUUUGUUGGGAAAGAAAAGCAGCAGGUUAAUACCCCGCUGUUCUGACGGUACCCAAAGAAUAAGCACCGGCUAACUUCGUG